CCAAGAUUUGGAAACAUUUAAAAGUCUUAGUUUUUUAGACUUAGGGGCUGCAAUGCACUCCUUAAAUCCCCAAAUGACGACUAGUGUCAAAAUAUAGGUGCAAGAAAUGUUUCAAUGUAGUUGCUUUUAAAGCAAGCUAUGUUUGGUGGUGAGACUGGACUAAGUUGGUGUUUGGUACCAAGAUUUGGAAAUUUUUUAAAGUCUUGGUUUUUUAGACUUAGGGACUGGAAUGCACUCUUUAAAUCCCCAAAUGAUAACUAGUGUAAAAAUAUAGGUGCAAGAAAUGUUUCAAUUUAGUUUCUUUUCAAGCAAGCUAUGUUUGGUUGUGAGACUAGACUAAGUUGGUGCAUCGUGCCAAGAUUUGGAAAGAUUUGAAAGUCUUGGUUUUUUACACAUAGGGGCUGCAAUGCACGCCUUAAAUCCCCAAAUGACGACUAGUGUCAAAAUAUAGGUGCAAGAAAUGUUUCAAUUUAGUUGCUUUUAAAGCAAGCUAUUUUUGGUGGUGAGACUGGACUAAGUAUGUGUUUGGUACCAAGAGUUGGAAAUUUUUUAAAGUCUUGGUUUUUUAGACUUAGGGGUUGCAAUGCACUCUUUAAAUCCCCAAAUGACGACUUGUGUCAAAAUGUAGGUGCAGGAAAUUUAUCAAUUUAGUAGCUUUUUAACCAAGUUAUGUUCGGUGGUGCGACUAGACUAAGUUGGUGAUUGGUACCAAGAUUUGGAAAUUUUUGAAGGUCUUGGUUUUGUAGACUUAGGGGCCCAAAUGCACUGUUUAAAUCCCCAAAUGACGACCAGUGUCAAAAUAUAGGUGCAAGAAAUGUUUCAAUUUAGUUGUUUUCAAGCAAGCUAUGUUUGGUGGUGAGACUGGAUUAAGUUGGUAUUUAGUACCAAGAUUUUGAAAUUUUUUAAAGUCUUUCUUUUUUAGACUUAGGGGCUGGAAUGCACUCUUUAAAUCCCCAAAUGAUAACCAGUGUAAAAAUAUAGGUGCAAGAAAUGUGUCAAUUUAGUUUCUUUACAAGCAAGCUAUCUUUGGUUGUGAGACUCGACUAAGUUGGUGCUUCGUGCCAAGAUUUGGAGACAUUUGAAAGUCUUGGUUUUUUACACUUAGGGGCUGCAAUGCACUCCUUAAAUCCCCAAAUGACGACUAGUGUCCAAAUACAGGUGGAAGAAAUGUUUCAAUUUAGUUGGUUUUAAAGGAAGCUAUAUUUCGUUUUGAGACUGGAUUAAGUUGGUGCUUCGUGCCAAGAUUUGGAAACAUUUGAAAGUCUUGGUUUUUUAGACUUAGGGGCUGCAAUGCACUCCUUAAAUCCCCAAAUGACGACUAGUGUCAAAAUAUAGGUGCAAGAAAUGUUNUAUGUUUGGUGGUGACACUGGACUAAGUUGGUGAUUGGUAUCAAGUUUUGGAAAUUGUUGAAGGUCUUGGUUUUUUAGAGUUAGGGGCCGCAAUGCACUCUUUAAAUACCCAAAUGACGACCAGUGUCAAAAUAUAGGUGCAAGAAAUGUUUCAAUUUAGUCGCUUUUCAAGCAAGCUAUGUUUGGUUGUGAGACUAGACUAAGUUGGUGCAUCGUGCCAAGAUUUGGAAAGAUUUGAAAGUCUUUGUUUUUUACAUGUAGGGGCUGCAAUGCACGCCUUAAAUCCCCAAAUGACGACUAAUGUCAAAAUAUAGGUGCAAGAAAUGUUUCAAUUUAGUUGUUUUUAAAGCAAGCUAUUUUUGGUGGUGAGACUGGACUAAGUUGGUGUUUGGUACCAAGAUUUGGAAA
Molecule: long non-coding RNA, 1758 nt
Filed under: Vigna radiata
Lineage: Eukaryota; Viridiplantae; Streptophyta; Magnoliopsida; Fabales; Fabaceae
Description: long non-coding RNA (VRAD_LNC017481)
Source: RNAcentral